UUUUUCAUAAAAAAUUUACGAUGUCCAUAAUACAAAGUUAAAUAAUUUUAGUUAAAUUUUUUUUGUUGUCAUCCUCAAAUAAUUGUGCAUUUAUACUAUAUGAUUAAUAGUAAAUUUACGUUCUUUCAAAAUCCUAGAUCCACCACUAUUUGUGUGGAACCUUCAAAACCUGUUGAACCAAUUCCCAAAUAUGAACGAAAUCGCUCUAAUGCCAUUCUUCACACCCCAAGAGACAGUCAAUGCAAAUCCAUUGUUCUUUCCAUGGAAUCCAAUUCCGGUCCAGUGGGGUCAAUUUGUGAACCUCCAUGCACCAGUACCUCUAGGACUAGGCGAAAUCGGAGCACUUCCGGAGAGGACGAGUUCCUUCACCAAGAUUUCAAAUGCUUCUCUCAUGAUCUUUCCAGAAGACGAGGACAAGAAGUAUAUUUAUCUCUGUCCGGUAACACUUCUCUCAAAAGUUCCUUCGACCUUUGGCCUGCAAUAAACAGUGCACUGGUGAAGUUUGCAGUUGUAAUGACACCGACACUGCAUUGAAUCCAACUUCCUUCCAGUGAUAGCUCUCAGCCCUCCCUCAACUUUUUCUCGCCAAUGAAUCAAGCAACUUGUUUUAUAGUUCGGAACACCCGAGGAGUCAACAACGAUAACUUUAGGAGGAACUUUUGUGAUCUGCUCAACUCCCAUAAUCCUUGUUUUGUUGCUCUACUAGAAACUAAACUCUGUGACCACUUAGGCCUCAUGAAUGAGUUUGGGUUCGAUGAUUAUUGGGAAGUCCCGGCUGUGGGUAGGUCCGGCGGUAUUGUCCUGCUUUGGCACACAUCCUUUGUUAGUAUUACUCGUAAGUAUCAAACCUCUCAGGAGCUUCACGCAAUGAUUAAGAGAUUCAUGACAGACUAAUAAUGGCUCAGAGAUGUGACUUGCAAGUCAAUGGUAUGACGAUACCAUAUGUAUUUAUGCCAUGACAGAUUAUGUUUUCAGAGUAUGUUUUCAGAGACUGCAUGAUUUGAUAGAGUUUUGAAAAGGGGCUUAAAGAAGGUUAAGUGGUUACCAGAAGAAGGCGCAAGUUUAAGCAACUCUUAGCCUGAAACUGUAUUUCUCGAUGCGGGUAAAUUAUUAUUGUACGCUGGCGACGGCCGUGUGGUGUAGUAAAUUCAGAGACUCCGACCCUUGAGGCAUACUUGGAUUGGGGGCUUUGCUGCAGAGUUAAUGGUUGUUUCUAUACAGCCCAUGGAAUUUUCAAAAUUGUAGGGUAUAUCUCCUAAUGCAGAAGUAUUAAUAGAUUUCUCAGAGUCAUGAUGAUUUUCACAGAGUCUUUUAAAAUGCCUAUGUGAUUUCUUAACAUGUUAUA
Capsicum annuum is the source of this 1345-nucleotide long non-coding RNA. RefSeq lists it as uncharacterized. Lineage: Eukaryota; Viridiplantae; Streptophyta; Magnoliopsida; Solanales; Solanaceae. The transcript has 2 exons. The record is from RefSeq and is a predicted model, not a curated record.